This 228-nucleotide ribosomal RNA is filed under the name uncultured bacterium. RNAcentral describes it as "partial 16S ribosomal RNA". It matches the Rfam family "Bacterial small subunit ribosomal RNA", at positions 568 to 796 of the family's 1533-position model. The record is from RNAcentral.
UACGUAGGCGGAAAAUAAGUCAGUAGUGAAAUCCUGCAGCUUAACUGUAGAACUGUUAUUGAUGCUGGUUUUCUUGAAUAUAGUUGAGGUAGGCGGAAUGUGUAAUGUAGCGGUGAAAUGCUUAGAUAUUACACAGAACACCGAUUGCGAAGGCAGCUUACUAAGCUAUGAUUGACGCUGAGGUACGAAAGCGUGGGGAGCGAACAGGAUUAGAUACCCUGGUAGUCC